ACUAAAACCUGUUAAUAAACUUAA
This 24-nucleotide non-coding RNA is filed under the name Arabidopsis thaliana (thale cress). Lineage: Eukaryota; Viridiplantae; Streptophyta; Magnoliopsida; Brassicales; Brassicaceae. The record is from RNAcentral.